Long non-coding RNA from Cucurbita moschata (crookneck pumpkin), 152 nucleotides. RefSeq lists it as uncharacterized. The record is from RefSeq and is a predicted model, not a curated record. Lineage: Eukaryota; Viridiplantae; Streptophyta; Magnoliopsida; Cucurbitales; Cucurbitaceae. The transcript is spliced from 3 exons.
AAGAACAUCCUCUUUUAGUUUUUUUUAUAUGCAUUUUAACGUCUUUCGCUUUGUGAGUCUAGAAUUGAGGUGGUUUAAUUUUUAUAGUUCAUUAUCUAGAUUGCUUGUGAUCAAUUUCCUUCUGAUAAAUGCGCAACAAUUUCCAACCUAGU